RNAcentral lists this ribosomal RNA (496 nucleotides) under uncultured bacterium. RNAcentral's name for it is "partial 16S ribosomal RNA". It matches the Rfam family "Bacterial small subunit ribosomal RNA", at positions 28 to 506 of the family's 1533-position model. The record is from RNAcentral.
GAUGAACGCUGGCGGCGUGCCUAAUACAUGCAAGUCGAGCGAACAGACGAGGAGCUUGCUCCUCUGACGUUAGCGGCGGACGGGUGAGUAACACGUGGAUAACCUACCUAUAAGACUGGGAUAACUUCGGGAAACCGGAGCUAAUACCGGAUAAUAUAUUGAACCGCAUGGUUCAAUAGUGAAAGACGGUUUUGCUGUCACUUAUAGAUGGAUCCGCGCCGCAUUAGCUAGUUGGUAAGGUAACGGCUUACCAAGGCAACGAUGCGUAGCCGACCUGAGAGGGUGACCGGCCACACUGGAACUGGGAACCGGUCCAGACUCCCACGGGAGGCAGGAGGAGGGAAUCUUCCGCAAUGGGCGAAAGCUUGACGGAGCAACGCCGCGUGAAUGAUGAAGGUCUUCGGAUCGUAAAACCCUGUUAUUAGGGAAGAACAAAUUGGUAAGUAACGAUGCGGGGCUUGACGGUACCUAAUCAGAAAGCCACGGCUAACUACGU